Daphnia carinata is the source of this 1116-nucleotide long non-coding RNA. RefSeq lists it as uncharacterized. The transcript has 3 exons. The record is from RefSeq and is a predicted model, not a curated record. Lineage: Eukaryota; Metazoa; Arthropoda; Branchiopoda; Diplostraca; Daphniidae.
UAUGUGUAAUAUUGCUAUUAAAUUUCUUAAAAUCGACACUUAUUUAUCUUGUUUGUUUCUCACCUUCACCCUCAAAGAACCGGGUCAUCAUUCUGAAAUGAUACAGAAAGUACAAUAAUUGCUUUAGGCAUUGAAUGGAAUCUUAUUUAGCGGUAUCUUGCAAAAUGACAUUAAUGGGGGCAACAUUUUAACGGAUGAUGUAAUACGAUACACUAAGAUUUUAUUUCAUCUUGGGCAUUUCCAGAUGUAUUUUUUUCGACUGGGGACCUUAUACCAAAUUGGAUGUUACUUUUUGUCUGACACAUAAGAGUGGAAUUCAGAAGCCCAAGAUUGGUUUGACCUUAAUUUUUAAUUUUCAUUAGAAAUUCUGUGUGAUUCUCAAUUUUUAUCUUACAUUAAUGGAGCUUUAGUGGUGUUUUUCCAGUUGAGGUAAUUGAACACUUCAAACAGAAAACUUUCACCUGUCAUUCACCUAUGUUGGUGAGAAAGGAUCGGCCGCUGUGACACCAUCUGAAUCUCCCAUCGCCUCCUAGUAGUUGACAGAAAAAUCUAACAGUCCGUCCCCGUUCGUAGUCUGUGAAGAACCGAUUCGUUCAAUCAUCGUCCGUUGUAGAAAAAGACGGUGCUGGUUAAGCUUUGCUAUGUGUUCAGUUAGUAAUGGCCCCGUAGUUUGAUAUUAUAGCAAGAUGCCUACCGAAACUCUGCUCAUGUAAACAAACGUGACCGGGAGAGAGGUGUCCUGCAUUUGUUUUUUCUCACACAUCAUCCUCGGAAAGACUACACGAAUGAAGCAAUAUUUAGCUUCUACAUACGACUUACAGUUGGCUACAUACGUUUCAGUUGCAACUGGCAAUAUGGCAAGCAUAAACGUACCGGCACAUCUGCCUUAAGAGCACGAACUGGAAACUUGACCGGCUUACCUACCUGUUAGGGUUUGGGCCGCGCUAUACUGUCCGACACAGUAAGAAAAAGGGCAUCGAAGAGGGUCACAUAGCUCGAUGAUUAGCUGCCAGCAUCCAUGAACCUUACAUGGGGAGGCUUACGAACAACCUACAAGCUACGAUUACCUCUUCUCCACCUUCAGUUUGUGAAUCGAUCUUCAACAUGUAGUGAACG